UACAGGGGGGCAAGCGUUGUUCGGAAUUACUGGGCGUAAAGGGCUCGUAGGCGGCCAACUAAGUCAGACGUGAAAUCCCUCGGCUUAACCGGGGAACUGCGUCUGAUACUGGAUGGCUAGAGGUUGGGAGAGGGAUGCGGAAUUCCAGGUGUAGCGGUGAAAUGCGUAGAUAUCUGGAGGAACACCGGUGGCGAAGGCGGCAUCCUGGACCAAUUCUGACGCUGAGGAGCGAAAGCCAGGGGAGC
RNAcentral lists this ribosomal RNA (245 nucleotides) under uncultured bacterium. Its description in RNAcentral is "partial 16S ribosomal RNA". It matches the Rfam family "Bacterial small subunit ribosomal RNA", at positions 524 to 769 of the family's 1533-position model. The record is from RNAcentral.